RNAcentral lists this small nuclear RNA (179 nucleotides) under Crocodylus porosus (Australian saltwater crocodile). RNAcentral describes it as "U1 spliceosomal RNA (ENSCPRG00005010803.1)". The record is from RNAcentral. Lineage: Eukaryota; Metazoa; Chordata; Crocodylia; Crocodylidae.
CUCCUCUCCCUGUUGUGUGUACAAGGUCAUGGCCAUGUGUGCUGGCCCCUGCGGUUCUCCCAGGGUGAGACUUGUCCCUUGGACUCCAGGCAGGCUGACUCCUGAGAGUUUCCUGAAAUGCAGAAAACUCAACAGCACAAUUUUGUGGCAAUGGGGGAUGGUGUUCACACUCCCCCACC